AACGAACGCUGGCGGCAUGCCUAACACAUGCAAGUCGAACGAGACCUUCGGGUCUAGUGGCGCACGGGUGCGUAACGCGUGGGAAUCUGCCCUUCGGUUGGGAAUAACUGAGAGAAAUUUCAGCUAAUACCUUAUAAUGUCUUCGGACCAAAGAUUUAUCGCCGAGGGAUGAGCCCGCGUAGGAUUAGGUAGUUGGUGGGGUAAUGGCCUACCAAGCCGACGAUCCUUAGCUGGUCUGAGAGGAUGAUCAGCCACACUGGGACUGAGACACGGCCCAGACUCCUACGGGAGGCAGCAGUGGGGGAUAUUGGACAAUGGGCGAAAGCCUGAUCCAGCAAUGCCGCGUGAGUGAUGAAGGCCUUAGGGUUGUAAAGCUCUUUUACCCGGGAUGAUAAUGACAGUACCGGGAGAAUAAGCUCCGGCUAACUCCGUG
This 433-nucleotide ribosomal RNA is filed under the name uncultured bacterium. RNAcentral's name for it is "partial 16S ribosomal RNA". It matches the Rfam family "Bacterial small subunit ribosomal RNA", at positions 29 to 507 of the family's 1533-position model. The record is from RNAcentral.